Molecule: long non-coding RNA, 688 nt
Filed under: Medicago truncatula (barrel medic)
Lineage: Eukaryota; Viridiplantae; Streptophyta; Magnoliopsida; Fabales; Fabaceae
Description: long non-coding RNA (MTRU_LNC000627)
Source: RNAcentral
UCUGAUUCAGUCCUAUCAUAUGAAGGAGGGUAAGAAGGUUUUACAAGUCUAAUAAAUACCAUAGAAGAAAAGUGUAUCUAUAUGAUUAGUAUACAAAAUUUAUACACCAUGGUAGUGGCUUAGUAGAGCAAGAAAGAAACAAAAAUUAGAUUUGAGGAAAUGAGAAGCCACAGACACAUGCAGAUGGAUAGUACAGAUUUGAAAAACUGUGUGAUAAGUGUAUGCAGGUAUCACAAUUUGUUCCUUAUAUUUCUUGCAUUCUAGAAUCUUUUUGAGCUCAUUCAAGCACCAUUUUGAGGAAGCGUAGUUUUCUGAGAAGAUGUCAAUCGAUGCAUGUGACUCUUCAAUGGCUUUGAUGAGUUCUGGUGUGAUCUUAUCUCCUUUUUUAAGCUUAUUGUUGUCUAUAAAGGUUUGAACAUUAUUUUGGCUCAGAGCAUCAUAAAGAUGGCUUGUGAUGUUUUUGCGAGUAUCCUCACCUCGAAAGCAUUGCUCAUUUGCUGCUCAAUUUCCAGUAUUGGUUCAAAUUGUUCGUAAUUUUUCUCAACUCCAACAAGCCCCUUAAUUUCAUAUUGCCAUCUAAGAUUCAGUUUCUGCAAAACAUCUUCGACAAUGUUCAUAAUGAAGUCUGAUUCAUACCUAGAAAAUGAAAGAAGAAGAAAAAGGUUUCACAAGUCUAACUAAUACAGUA